UCUCUGAUAGUAUAUCGGUUAGUACACGCGCCUGUCAUCCGCUCCUACGUGAUGAAUUGUCGCGCGAAAGCUGGGUUCGACUCCCAGUCAGAGAG
This is a non-coding RNA of Armillaria novae-zelandiae, 95 nucleotides long. Lineage: Eukaryota; Fungi; Basidiomycota; Agaricomycetes; Agaricales; Physalacriaceae. The record is from the annotation of a GenBank genome assembly.